CCUACGGGUGGCUGCAGUGAGGAAUAUUGGUCAAUGGGCGCGAGCCUGAACCAGCCAAGUCGCGUGAGGGAGGACGGCCCUACGGGUUGUAAACCUCUUUUGCCGGGGAGCAACGGGCGUCACGUGUGGCGCCCCUGAGAGUACCCGGAGAAAAAGCAUCGGCUAACUCCGUGCCCGCAGCCGCGGUAAUACGGAGGAUGCGAGCGGUCUCCGGAUUUAUUGGGUUUAAAGGGUGCGUAGGCGGAUCGUUAAGUCAGUGGUCAAAUUGAGGGGCUCAACCCCCUCCCGGCCAUUAAACUGGCGCUCUUGAGUGGAAGAGAAGUAGGCGGAAGGCGUGGUGUAGCGGUGAAAUGCAUAGAUAUCACGCAGAACCCCGAUUGCGAAGGCAGCAUGCCGGCUUCCGACUGACGCUGAAGCACGAAAGCGUGGGGAUCGAACAGGAUUAGAUACCCGAGUAGUC
Molecule: ribosomal RNA, 460 nt
Filed under: uncultured bacterium
Lineage: Bacteria
Description: partial 16S ribosomal RNA
Rfam family: Bacterial small subunit ribosomal RNA
Source: RNAcentral